UUGUUCUUUAUUGGUUUUUAAGAUGACUGAUUUUUUUGAAUUUGAAAAUAACAUAAUGGUUAAGACUUCAACAUGUUUUUUCUGUAGAUGUAUCAAUAAAAUAAUAUUUCAAGUACUCAUAAAACACAUGAUCGGUAAACAAGACAUCGUUGAGCAUUUCCUUUAUUUAAAUUUACUUUUUUAGGCUAAUAAGUUGUUUUCUAUUUCAAUUUUAUUUUAUUCUUUUGUUAUAAUUAUAUUAUGUAUGAUAUCAAUUUAAUUAAGUGAUUGAUUGUAUGAAGAAAGUUGAACUUAUAUAUAUGUCUUGAGAGUUAUUUUGUAUAUUGAAGUAUUGAACUAUAUUAUUCAUACUGAAAUAAAUUUUAAAACUUGGAUUUCAUCACAAAUAAAUAUAAUAUGUAAAACAUUUGAAAAUUUAUACUAAAAAAAUAUAAACUCUCUUCUUAACUCUAAUGGCAUUAAUGAUAUGUGUUUAGGAAUACUAAAUUAAUAAUUUGAAGGGAACAAAUAAAUAAACAAGUGUUGACACCAUAUUGAACAUUGUUAUGAAUGUAUUUUAUUUUAUUUUUUGCAAAAAAAUGAUAAUACAAAAGAGAAGAAUAAGAGGCUUUAUUGGUUAGCACAACUUUAAUUGUAAUCCUGGUUUUGGUAUUUAUAUUUUGGGUAUUUUCUAUAUGAAUCUGAUUUUAACACAAAACUCAAACUACGUUUUCUAAUUUCUUUAACUAUUAUGCACAAAGGUCAUGAUCUUAACAUUGAACCUAAUUUUAUUUCAAAUAUCAUAUGACAGAUAUGAAAUUAACAUUCAUUUAUUAUUAUUAUUAUUAUUUUUUCCCACAAGACAAUUUUAUUCUGGAAUCGAUUAUUUAUGAACAAUACGAAUGUAUUCCUAUGGAUAGAAGAGAAAAAAAAUGUACAUAUAAUUUUAUUUAUUUUUUAAAUGAAAAUAAAUAAAGAAACAUAUUUGGAAAAAGAUGAACAAGUAAACUCUACCAAAACAUAAUGGAAUGACUCAACGCUCAUGUUAAAAUCAAAGAAUUGUUUUAAAAAAUAAUGAAUGUAAAAUUCAGAAGUCUAAUUUAAAAAGUUAAGAAAGAAUUUGAUAAUUAAUAUAUAAUUGCUUCAUGUAAGGCAAAAUAAUUUGAUGUCUGCCUUGCUUAUAACUUAUCACUUAAUUUAUCAACAAUGUUUUUUAGAAAGUAUUUAACAGCUUUAAUUUAAUACUACAAUCAUUUUUG
RNAcentral lists this long non-coding RNA (1238 nucleotides) under Physcomitrium patens. RNAcentral describes it as "long non-coding RNA (PPAT_LNC004616)". The record is from RNAcentral. Lineage: Eukaryota; Viridiplantae; Streptophyta; Bryopsida; Funariales; Funariaceae.